Molecule: non-coding RNA, 279 nt
Organism: Myodes glareolus (Bank vole)
Lineage: Eukaryota; Metazoa; Chordata; Mammalia; Rodentia; Cricetidae
Source: RefSeq, a predicted model, not a curated record
CAGCGACCCUCACACGGUACUGGCUUUCCAGGUAUCUGUGGUCAUCAGGCAGAACUACAGAGGCUAUAGAUGGAGAUUUGCCCAUGCCUGUGCAGGGUGAAGAGCUGACUGUCUGCCUCCACAGGUACCAGGAUGCAACUAGAUCUGGGCAGCUGGGAAUGAAUAAGCAGCCUCUGACUACAGAAUGAUUGCCAACACUGGGCAAGGAAAAUAAGCCAUGUAAAGAUGGAAUAUACACAGAGAGCCUGGAUUAUAUAUACUAUUGUGUUUUGGACUGUG